UACAACGUCCUUGUAAAUAUAGAAUUGAUACAUAUCUAAAAAAAACUACUUAAUAAAAUUGUAUAAUAUUGCUAUCUCCCUGGCCCACCCAACUGAUCAACUUCCGCAUUAUCUAUUAUUGGUUCCAUUGAUUUCGGUUCAAAAUACAAACUAUCAUUCUCUUUCAAUCCUUCCAUCGGCUACUUCCUCAACUAGGCUAAAACAUCUUCAUUAUACUCUCCUGAUUCAUAGACUUGAGCCUCCUAUUUCAAGAUUUAGGCAUCUCUUAAUUCCAAUUGGUAUUGAUGCUGACUCAUCUAUUCUUGAACUUCAAAAAAUUAACAUCAUCAAUACUUAUGACUGACCAAUAUUGACUAAAUCAUAUAC
This 366-nucleotide long non-coding RNA is filed under the name Physcomitrium patens. RNAcentral's name for it is "long non-coding RNA (PPAT_LNC002085)". Lineage: Eukaryota; Viridiplantae; Streptophyta; Bryopsida; Funariales; Funariaceae. The record is from RNAcentral.